RNAcentral lists this transfer RNA (77 nucleotides) under Latilactobacillus sakei. RNAcentral's name for it is "Lactobacillus sakei Pseudo tRNA". It matches the Rfam family "tRNA". From Rfam's summary of the family: Transfer RNA (tRNA) molecules are approximately 80 nucleotides in length. Lineage: Bacteria; Bacillati; Bacillota; Bacilli; Lactobacillales; Lactobacillaceae. The record is from RNAcentral.
AUCCUAGUAGCUUAAUGGUAAAGCAGCGCGGAAGUGCACCUGCGGUCACGAUUCGGGUUCGAGUCCCGACUAGGAUA